This 78-nucleotide transfer RNA is filed under the name bacterium. RNAcentral's name for it is "tRNA-Thr". It matches the Rfam family "tRNA". Rfam says of the family: Transfer RNA (tRNA) molecules are approximately 80 nucleotides in length. The record is from RNAcentral.
GCCUGUUUAGCUACAUUUGGUUAGAGCAAUUGAUUCGUAAUCAAUAGGUGAGCAGUUCGAAUCUGCUAACAGGCACCA